Small nuclear RNA from Diceros bicornis minor, 103 nucleotides. Lineage: Eukaryota; Metazoa; Chordata; Mammalia; Perissodactyla; Rhinocerotidae. The record is from RefSeq and is a predicted model, not a curated record.
GUGCUGGCUUUGGCAGCACAUAUACUAAAAUUGGAAUGAUACAGAGAUUAGCGUGGCCCUGUGCAAGGGUGACACGCAAAUUUGUGAAACAUUCCAUAGUUUU